This 1984-nucleotide long non-coding RNA is filed under the name Pelobates cultripes (western spadefoot toad). The record is from RNAcentral. Lineage: Eukaryota; Metazoa; Chordata; Amphibia; Anura; Pelobatidae.
CCCAGGUAAUUCCUAAACCCUGGACUGGUAGGGGGUCCUGAGGACUGGGUUGAGAACCCUUGAUCUAGACGAAGUUGUCCAGACGAAGUUGAGAACCCCUGGUCUAGAUGAAGUGUCCUGAGUCUAUGGUCCUUUUAUUCUUGCAACACAAAACAUUAAAAAAAUAUUUUUUUUUAUUUGAAACUGCGGUGUUUCCAUUGCUGGGCUGAAUCUAUAGCUCUUGUGGUUGUUAUACUAAGUUGAAGGAGUCAGCUUAGACAAUUAAAGGGACACUAUAGUCACCAGAACAACUAUAACUUAAUGUAGUUGUUAUGGUGAGUAUAGUAUGUCCCUUCAGGCUUUUUAAUUUAAACACUGCCUUUUCGGAUAAAAAGCAUUGUUUACAUUGUUGCCUAGGCACACCUCAAGUGGCAGUCCUUUAAUAGUGCUCCUUUAAUGUUCUGUGACCUUUCAAAGAAAUCACUUGUGGCUCAAUUGAAAGGCUAUUAAACUAGUGCUCAUUCACUAUUUAUUUAAAUUUUUUUACCAUCAGGUUCCCCCUGAACACCUAGGGAAGGGAGAGCAUGACUGAUGUCCCUGGAUUGGGGACUGGAAUUAAAGGGAUAAAAUGUUUAAAGUUUGGGAAGAGGUUUAAGGAUAGUAGGAGGGUUGGGACUUACUGCAGGAGCAGUAGACGGACCAUGACUAUCAUUUCCAUCUGCCCGAGAUAUGGUUAGGCUGUUUGUUUGGUGUCUGUCUCUUUUUAUGUUGUCACAGCUUGUGGGAUUCCUGGCCAACUCAGCCGCAUUAAGGAAUGAGACUCCGAGUCGGCCUGGGGAGUCUGAGUCUGGUUGUAGAAGGUUGUAGAAACUGUCUGGUAAUCAAUCAACAGCUGACAGGUGGCUAAUUAAGUUAUUGGCAUGUUAUUAAUAAAACUGUGCCUAUUGCCCUAUCCACAUAAAUUUGUGUCUUGUGUUUUGUAUGGGAGGCAGCGGAUUGGUGGGAUGGUAUUACGCGUCAGCAGUCAAGUUCAAUUCAGCAAAAAAAAAGAAUAACUGUGCAUUGAAAUUUAAAGAUAUGUGUUGUGUUUGUUUGCUCACUGCAGAGUUUUGGGAAAUAAUUUUUACAUAGAAAAAUAAAUAACAUGUUAUUGUGUCACAGUUUCCAAACUUGUACAAGUUCUCCAACUGUGUGGAAGUAAGGGUCAUUUGAAAAUCCCUGCACUCUCUAAGUCCACUUUAUACCAGGCGCAAUAAGCGUUACCUAUUCUCCUUUCAGCUUUGACACUGUGAAUAUCCAGAGUAUAUAUAAGACUUCUUUAGCUGAUAUUAUAUAUGAUAAAGGAUCAUAUAUAUUGAUCCAAAAUCAAGAUAUAUCUAUAAAUCACCACAAGUCUGUUGGCCUAAAAAAUGGAACAUUCAAAAAGUCCAAAAUAUUUGUAAAAGAAUAUUUAAAAUUCCACAGAAGUAAAAGUCAAGGGGCAUUAAGCCCCAGCAAAACAAAGGGUACAUUUCCACUAAAACCUCCCAAUAUCGGAAUCAAUACAACAAGCCAAACUGACUGCUUUAUUUAUAUUGGUUUUUCUUUUUGUCCCCACAUUCCUUUUCUACUUUAUUUUAGACGUCUUCAGCUAUUUUCUAUGGAUUAGUUCUUAGAUGCAUAGAGCCAUUUAUUGAGCCCUAGGCUAAAAUCUCAAAAAGUGGGCUUUGUUCGUGUACAGAACUAUUGACAAUAUGUAUAUAUGAGCCUUUUAUUGCUAUUUGCUAUGCAUUUUGAUUUUUAUAGCUUUUGUGAAAAACAAAAAUCCCUCACCCCACUCACUGAUGAAGUCACAUAUUAAUGAAAUGCGUUGGGAAAGAAAAGGACCACCAGCAGUGAUUACUGAAUUGGUGAUGCUUUAAAGCUCAUUAUUUUAAUGAUGCAUAUGCACUUUAUUUAUAUGUGCUUUUAAGAGUAUGUGUGCACUGUUUUGAUUUUUUUGUGCAAAUAAAUUAGUAUUUUAAUA